Molecule: ribosomal RNA, 391 nt
Filed under: Stramenopiles sp. MAST-3F
Lineage: Eukaryota
Description: partial small subunit ribosomal RNA
Rfam family: Eukaryotic small subunit ribosomal RNA
Source: RNAcentral
AUUCCAGCUCCAAUAGCGUAUAUUAAAGUUGUUGCAGUUAAAAAGCUCGUAGUUGGAUUUCUGGUCUGAGCGUCCGGUCCGCCGCUGUGCGGUGUGUACUUGGUUCGACUCGGGCCUUCCUUGUAGGGAAUGUUUCUGGCAUUAAUUUGUCGGGGGCGGGAACUGCAUCGUUUACUGUGAAAAAAUUAGAGUGUUUAAAGCAGGCAUUUGCUGUGAAUACAUUAGCAUGGAAUAAUAAGAUAGGACUUUGGUUCUAUUUUGUUGGUUGGAGGCCAAGGUAAUGAUUAAUAGGGAUAGUUGGGGGUAUUCGUAUUUCGUAGUCAGAGGUGAAAUUCUUGGAUUUACGAAAGACGAACUACUGCGAAAGCAUUUACCAAGGAUGUUUUCAUUG